UACGGAGGGUGCGAGCGUUGUCCGGAAUCACUGGGCGUAAAGGGCGCGUAGGUGGCCUCUUAAGUGUGUGGUGAAAGCCCGGGGCUCAACCCCGGGUCGGCCAUGCAAACUGGGGGGCUGGAGCACUGUAGAGGCAGGCGGAAUUCCGGGUGUAGCGGUGGAAUGCGUAGAGAUCCGGAAGAACACCGGUGGCGAAGGCGGCCUGCUGGGCAGUUGCUGACACUGAGGCGCGACAGCGUGGGGAGCAAACAGG
This 253-nucleotide ribosomal RNA is filed under the name uncultured bacterium. RNAcentral's name for it is "partial 16S ribosomal RNA". It matches the Rfam family "Bacterial small subunit ribosomal RNA", at positions 524 to 776 of the family's 1533-position model. The record is from RNAcentral.